UACGGGGGGGGCAAGCGUUGUUCGGAAUUACUGGGCGUAAAGGGCGCGUAGGCGGCUCGUCAAGUCGGGCGUGAAAUCUCCGGGCUUAACCCGGAAAAGUCGUUCGAUACUGUUGAGCUAGAGUGUGGAAGAGGCAACUAGAAUUCCGUGUGUAGCGGUGAAAUGCGUAGAUAUACGGAGGAAUACCUGAGGCGAAGGCGGGUUGCUGGGCCAACACUGACGCUGAGGCGCGAAAGCCAGGGGAGCAAACGGG
RNAcentral lists this ribosomal RNA (253 nucleotides) under uncultured bacterium. RNAcentral describes it as "partial 16S ribosomal RNA". It matches the Rfam family "Bacterial small subunit ribosomal RNA", at positions 524 to 776 of the family's 1533-position model. The record is from RNAcentral.